CCCUUAGAUGUUCUGGGCCGCACGCGCGCUACAAUGAUGCAUUCAACGAGUUUAUAACCUUGGUUGAAAAGCCUGGGUAAUCUUUUGAACUUUCGUCGUGAUGGGGCUAGACCCUUGCAAUUAUUGGUCUCCAACGAGGAAUUCCUAGUAAACGCAAGUCAUCAGCUUGCAUUGAUUACGUCCCUGCCCUUUGUACACACCGCCCGUCGCACCUACCGAUUGAAUGGUCCGGUGAAAUCUUCGGAUUGAGACUUUGAUUUCUUCACGGAAAACGCUGUUUUAAGAAGUUGAUUAAACCUUACCAUUUAGAGGAAGGUGAAGUCGUAACA
Molecule: ribosomal RNA, 329 nt
Filed under: uncultured eukaryote
Lineage: Eukaryota
Description: partial 18S ribosomal RNA
Rfam family: Eukaryotic small subunit ribosomal RNA
Source: RNAcentral